Molecule: ribosomal RNA, 765 nt
Filed under: Hypogymnia gracilis
Lineage: Eukaryota; Fungi; Ascomycota; Lecanoromycetes; Lecanorales; Parmeliaceae
Description: mitochondrial SSU rRNA
Rfam family: Bacterial small subunit ribosomal RNA
Source: RNAcentral
AUCGACUAUGUCGAAUAAAAUUCUAGGUAGAAUUAUGAUAAUGACAUUGUCUGCCUAUGUGUCUNGACCAAAUUACGUGCCAGCAGUCGCGGUAAUACGUAGAAGACUAGUGUUAUUCAUGUUUAAUCGGUUUAAAGGGUACCUAGACGGUAAAUCAAGCCUAAAAUUAAAUGAAGGGACUAAUUUACUAGAGUUACUUAUGAGGGGGUAUUAAAGUACUGCUGGUGUAGAGAUGAAAUUCUGUCAUACCUCUUUUCAAUAGAAAAACAAUGGCACAGGUAUAGGCGAAAGCAUCCCCUUAUGUGAUAACUGACGUUGAGGGACGAAGGCUUUGUGUAGCGAACAGGAUUAGAUACCCCAGUAGUCAAAGCAGAAAAUGAUGAAUGUCAUAGAUUAGAUAAAUAAGUUUAUUCUAUAAAUGAAAGUGUAAGCAUUCCACCUCAAGAGUAAUUUGGCAACAUUGGAACUGAAAUCAUUAGACCGUUUCUGAAACCAGUAGUGAAGUAUGUUGUUUAAUUUGAUGAUCCGCAAAAAACCUUACCACAAUUUGAAUAUUUAUAUUUUUUUAUUGUUUUCUUUUUAAUUUUCUUCUGAUUUGAUUUUUCUAAAGAAAAAAAGAAAAAGAGGCGAUAUGAUAUAUUUACAAGCGUUGCACGGCUGUCUUCAGUUAAUGUCGCGAGACUUUGGUUAGUUCCAUUAAAUUAACGUAAACCCUUACUUUAUUUUUAUAUAGAGUAGUUCCCCGCUAUAUUGGAUAUGAUAACC